AUGGCUUUAUAUGCCAUGUUACAAAAUGAAACUUAGACAAGAAUAAGAUUUUUAGUUUUUCUUUCUCUUCUUGUUAAUGAAGGUCUUGAGAACCAUAUCACUAACAUUUUCCUCAAAUCUUGUUUCUUCACUGCCCUCCUUACUUCUUUGAGAUAACCUUUCAGAGGAUCCAUCAUUUUCAGAGUUCGUAUGAUCUUGGUUGUUGCUUUUCUG
RNAcentral lists this long non-coding RNA (213 nucleotides) under Vigna radiata. RNAcentral describes it as "long non-coding RNA (VRAD_LNC013142)". The record is from RNAcentral. Lineage: Eukaryota; Viridiplantae; Streptophyta; Magnoliopsida; Fabales; Fabaceae.